GAUCCUGGCUCAGAUUGAACGCUGGCGGAAUGCUUUACACAUGCAAGUCGAACGGUAGAGGGGGCAACCCUUGAGAGUGGCGAACGGUGAGUAAUAUAUCGGAACGUGCCCAGUCGUGGGGGAUAACGUAGCGAAAGUUACGCUAAUACCGCAUACGAUCUACGGAUGAAAGCGGGGGACUCGCAAGAGCCUCGCGCGAUUGGAGCGGCCGAUAUCAGAUUAGGUAGUUGGUGGGGUAAAGGCUCACCAAGCCAACGAUCUGUAGCUGGUCUGAGAGGACGACCAGCCACACUGGAACUGAGACACGGUCCAGACUCCUACGGGAGGCAGCAGUGGGGAAUUUUGGACAAUGGACGCAAGUCUGAUCCAGCCAUUCCGCGUGCAGGAUGAAGGCCCUCGGGUUGUAAACUGCUUUUGUACGGAACGAAAAGGUUUCUAUUAAUACUAGGAGCUCAUGACGGUACCGUAAGAAUAAGCACCGGCUAACUACGUG
RNAcentral lists this ribosomal RNA (493 nucleotides) under uncultured bacterium. RNAcentral describes it as "bacterial SSU rRNA". It matches the Rfam family "Bacterial small subunit ribosomal RNA", at positions 15 to 507 of the family's 1533-position model. The record is from RNAcentral.